Gadus macrocephalus (Pacific cod) is the source of this 470-nucleotide long non-coding RNA. RefSeq lists it as uncharacterized. The record is from RefSeq and is a predicted model, not a curated record. The transcript has 2 exons. Lineage: Eukaryota; Metazoa; Chordata; Actinopteri; Gadiformes; Gadidae.
CUAUUUGCCAUGGCGGCGCGCACAGACGCAGCGGCUCACAGCUCUCCCUACUUGUGCCUUUUUUCGUGUGUUGUACGUUUGUUUACUUUUUCUACUGAACGCUAGGGCUGGGCGAUAUGACGAUAUAUAUCGUGUGAUGAUAUAAAAAUGUCUAUCGUUUCAUAUUAUCCUCUAUCGUUAUAUCGUCUUUUCGCAAAUCACACUCUUUACGGUAAUAUUUUACGUCAUUUGGACGACGCUUUACAUUCUUGCAAACGGCACUUGAACGCAACACAAACAAACAUGGAGGAGAGUGAACGUGACAAUUCUGAAUAGGAGAAGGACUCCCACUACCAGCCAAGACAAAGUGAGCUCGUACCUUAAAAGGACAGCUGAUUUGGAACGCAACAACAGCUGUUCGCUUUCACGGGGAAAAACUAAGGAACUUCAACCUACUUAGGCCUACUAAUUAACUUUCAAAAGCUAUUAAA